GUGCACUCUUUGAUGCACUUGAUAUGUCCCAUCUAGCAAGUUCCUUUUAGCUUUAAAUGCAAGUUUUUUGUAGCUUAUAUUUUAUAAUUCAAGUACUAGCACCUUACUGUAUUGUGUGUCCUGAGCACGGUGACAGCCUCCCUGACCACAUCGCCGCUGAUUAUUGUGGAUCCGCGUUGCAAGAAGCUUAUCCUGGUUGCUCAAAAAUGUGGCAUGGAGAGGAAGAAAAAAUAUGUGGGGUCAUGCUCAAUUUUGUCUUUGCCAGUGGGAGGGUGCCUACGGCGAGAUUCCAGCCUGUCCACCGUGAGGAUAUCAGCAGUCACUUAUGUACCAAGAAUCUUUCAUGGAUUCAGUUUUGAGGAACAAGGCUUGGCACAUAACUCUUUGCAUGGAAAUCUUUAAUUGGUGUUCCAUGUGCCCGACGAGCGACCAAAGACAAGUGACAAAAAGGCUUUGAUUUCCUUGGCGAUGGAACUUACAAUGAUGCACUCCAUGGUCUUUAUUUUCUAUGUGUGAGGACAUCAUGUACUCGCUAUAGCAGAAGACAUCAAUCUUAAUACCAUAGUGUUGUAAUGAAGCUUCAUGUGAAGCCAUAACUGUUCACUUCUUAAUAGUUGGAUCAUUCAGUUUAGGAAUAUAUGAUGCAUUGGACAUCAGAGAUGGACUGAUGACAAGUCUGAUUACCUUUGGAGAUGUGAUCUCAAUGUUCGUUCACUUGCAAUCCUUUUUAUUGAGAGGGAAGAUAUUUUACAUGUAUAGCAAUUUACUUCAAUUGUGGUGUCCCUACCCGAAGUUCAUCCAUGGCUACUGGACUGAAAUGGGGUGUGGCGCCUCAGUCCCCAAUAGGAAGGGCCAGAAGUGUCGAAGCGUCGUAUUGUUGAUUUCAUUUCUGAAUAUCAUGGGGAUAUGUGGGCUGUCUCUGAAUUACAACGCGCCCUCGAGGAGUACCUGCAUGUGGUUCUUGGUUUAACAGUGAAAGGAGUACCUACUCAGCAACAGCAGCAGAGGAGGGGCAGAGGAGGCCGACCAUAGGCGGGGCGAGUUCGUGUCGAAUACGAGCUGCAGGUGGUCGAAGCAGUAACAACAGUAGGCGUCAGUGGCGCUUGUGGCUCCGACCACCGCGUAAAGAUGGGGUGAGGCCUUCACGGAGGCCACAGGUGGCCGUGGCGGUGGGAGAAGGUGUUGGAAAUAUGCCCUAAAGGCAAUAAUAAAAUGGUUAUUAUCAUA
Long non-coding RNA from Hordeum vulgare subsp. vulgare (domesticated barley), 1227 nucleotides. RefSeq lists it as uncharacterized. The record is from RefSeq and is a predicted model, not a curated record. The transcript is spliced from 5 exons. Lineage: Eukaryota; Viridiplantae; Streptophyta; Magnoliopsida; Poales; Poaceae.